RNAcentral lists this small RNA (29 nucleotides) under Bombyx mori (domestic silkworm). Its description in RNAcentral is "ovarian small RNA-14874". The record is from RNAcentral. Lineage: Eukaryota; Metazoa; Arthropoda; Insecta; Lepidoptera; Bombycidae.
CUGACUUGAAUCCUAUUCAGCACGUGUGG